Molecule: long non-coding RNA, 1130 nt
Organism: Cyclopterus lumpus (lumpfish)
Lineage: Eukaryota; Metazoa; Chordata; Actinopteri; Perciformes; Cyclopteridae
Exons: 2
Source: RefSeq, a predicted model, not a curated record
UCAUUUGGAAGGAGCCACUGGUGAUCGGACGAAGGGCGAACUCCUUCUCAGCCCAUCGCAGCCACUGGGCCACGUCCUCCCUGCUCCAGAAGACCGGCUGCAAACCUGGAGUCCUCUACAUUCACAUGGCGGCACGAACGCUGCCGAUAAGCCCGGGAAGGCCUCGGUUAUCUGAAGCACAGCUUACAACCCGUCAAGCUCUGACCCUCAGCUUGUCAACAGACGUCCUAAGAAAGUGUCAGCGAGCGGGAUACAGGUGUUUCACAACAACAGGAGCGGGUGGUGGGCAGAUAAGGAACGGUCUUUCUUCAUACUUCUUACUGGGAUUGGCUUCUUGGCCACAGUAAAAAAUCAUAUCUAGGCUACGGUAACUCUAGCCCCUAUGCUUUAUGUAAAUCCUUCUGAUCCGUAUGAUUAAAGCAGUAUAGGUGACUUUAAUCAAUAAUAAAAGAAAAACACCAGUCGUAAAAGAACGCAUUGAAAUAUUCCCAGAAAAUCUAUGAAUUAUGUUGUUUUUUUUAAAACAUAAAAUGUGUCCCUUUUGCAGCUUCUACAAAUGAUUGCAUGUUACAUUUAACUGGACUACAUAACAAGGAUGGAUGUCGGAUGUACUGGAAUACUCAUACUACAUCAUUGACCCUAUAUCAAUAUUGGAUCAAGCUGCCAUCUGCACUGAAUGCGCCAGCUGUACGUUUUGUCUCUGGUGGCUGACUGGAGGCCGGGGCGGGCAGCAGCGAAGCCCAGGUCGCGGGGUCACGGCUGCGGUAUGCUCUCUCUCCAGAGCCGGAGAGUGGUGCUGCUCUGCCAAAACCCCUCCGAGAUCCGGUCUGCCGGCCUCAGCCAUCUGCACAGAGCCCGAAGGAGGAAGCAACAAGGGGAGCAGAAAGGGAGGAGGAGGAGGAAGAAGGGGGCCCAAACAAACAUGUCCCACAACGCACUUUGGCAGGAAGCAAUCCAGCGUGGGCUCCGUUUCUGAACAGGAAACUUCCUGCGGUAAGGUUAGAGAGCGACGCCGGGAGGUGCGUUAACAGACAGCGAGACGGAGACAAGAAAAACGGAAAGGAAAGAGCGAUGAGAGCAGCAGCGCGAGCCGACCAAACGGAGACGCAAAAAGAGGACGGAAAGUCAAA